AUGUGCCGAAAUCCAGCAACUUGGCCAAGGAGCGUAUUUCGAAAACGGAUGGAGUUAUAAGCUACAAAAUUCCUCAUUGCCGACAGUGCUAUCUUUUACUGAUGAUCAACUUUCAUUACACAGUUUCCAUCCCCUACUCCACGAGUCUAUGAUAUGUCCACGAUGAUGUUUCAAUUAUCAAAAGGCGCGAAAAGUUGUCAACAUGUUGGCAGGUUGGGAAAUUGUUUGCGUUAUUGGUUAAGAUUGCCGCAGAAGCAUUUGAUGUAACUGACUAAAUUUUUUUGAGUGUAAAUAAUACGGGACAAUUGAACUCCUUCGCAAACUCUGGCGAGUUUGACAAAGGCCCAACGACCCUGUACUUCGAUGUGCAGUGUGAGUCCUUCUCUAUCUGGAGACCUACAGCCUCGGAUGUUACCGCCGAACACCAAACCUGCCCAAAGUAGUUCAGGAUUAACGGGAAGCAAGAACUAGAAGACACGAUGUAUCAUAAUUUCAGAAUCAUUGCACAUUAUACAUAAAAAGGACGUAUUUAAUCAUAUACAUGUAUAAAUUAGUUGUUAGACAAAGCAUAU
RNAcentral lists this long non-coding RNA (572 nucleotides) under Neodiprion lecontei (redheaded pine sawfly). RNAcentral's name for it is "uncharacterized LOC124294112". Lineage: Eukaryota; Metazoa; Arthropoda; Insecta; Hymenoptera; Diprionidae. The record is from RNAcentral.